UGGGGAAUAUUGGACAAUGGGCGAAAGCCUGAUCCAGCCAUGCCGCGUGUGUGAAGAAGGUCUUCGGAUUGUAAAGCACUUUAAGUUGGGAGGAAGGGCAGUAAGCGAAUACCUUGCUGUUUUGAUGUUACCGACAGAAUAAGCACCGGCUAACUCUGUGCCAGCAGCCGCGGUAAUACAGAGGGUGCAAGCGUUAAUCGGAAUUACUGGGCGUAAAGCGCGCGUAGGUGGUUCGUUAAGUUGAAGGUGAAAGCCCCGGGCUCAACCUGGGAACUGCAUCCGAAACUGGCGAGCUAGAGUAGGGCAGAGGGUAGUGGAAUUUCCUGUGUAGCGGUGAAAUGCGUAGAUAUAGGAAGGAACACCAGUGGCGAAGGCGACCAACUGGGCUGAUACUGACACUGAGGUGCGAAAGCGUGGGGAGCAAACAGG
Molecule: ribosomal RNA, 429 nt
Filed under: Pseudomonadota bacterium
Lineage: Bacteria; Pseudomonadati; Pseudomonadota
Description: Proteobacteria bacterium partial 16S ribosomal RNA
Rfam family: Bacterial small subunit ribosomal RNA
Source: RNAcentral